UUUCUAUCCCUGUUUUGCACUUUACUUUACCUAGUUGUAGAUCUGAGCCGCCGGAGCUCCACCUUCUUCCUCCUCUCCGGCUAUGGCCAAGUCAUGAUCCACCGGGGUCCUGACACCUUUGCCCUACACCCCAUCUUUCGAUGGCCGUCCUUGCAGCUGGCUGACCACGUCGGCGCGAUGGAUCUCUCCUUCAACACGCGCCGUCGGCCACUCGAUGCAGGGCGGCGCGGUCAGAUUAGCCGGAGAAUUAGGUGGAGGGAGAGAGGUGAGGAGAAUACAUCAACAUCAUGUGGCAGUGCAACGCAACCAUGGUGGCCAUUACCGUUCAUGACCGGCCGUGCCGGGCGCUGCUUGGGGAGAGAUGCGGGCGUCGAGCGCGUCCCAUGGAGAUGAUGCCAAGAUUUUCAAGGGAGAUAUGCACAUCCCCAUAUGGUUUUCGUCAGCUGCACAAGAUCUUCUUGAUAAGAUUCUUGAACCAAGUCCAAUGAAGAGGACACAGGUAGGUGUACCUCAACCAGCGGAAGCAAUAGCGGCCAAGGCUCCAUCGCUUUUCCCAAUAGGUCCUAGGCUGACACAUUGCUCCUGCUCCUCCGGCGAGAUUGUACCAGCUAUGGCGAGUACAUGUCGCCCCAUCUCUAUCUCUGUAUUUAUUUCUUCCUUCACUCUUUGUUGGCGUUUGUUAUACGCAGCUCAUAUGGUUCAUCUUCAAAUCUGGCAUGCACUAUAUAGGUUGUUCUAUAUGAUCUACUAGAUUGUUUGAUCUUGAGAUGAAGUGAGUUCCAUAUGUAGUAUGUUUUUUGGUGAAUCUGACAUUUUGUUCAUAAUUACGGCAUCUUCUAUUUUUUCCUUAUCUGAGCAAAUCAUUGUAUGACUUGAUGAUGUUUCAGGUGUUAAUCCUACAAUUAAAUGACCAUCAUCUUAGUGUAAAUUGCAUGGACAUUCUUGAUCUUGUUUUACUGUGCUCCGGUUGGCUGUAAAAGAGUGAGUUGCCAUUUCACAUCAAACCAGAAUUUAAUCUGUCACUACAUUUGUUUUCUCACGAUGUUGUGUUCUUUAAUUUUAUAGGAAACAUUCCAGUAGAACACACCUUAGUAUUGUGAUUUCUUACCAUCUUUAUAUU
Molecule: RNA transcript, 1120 nt
Organism: Lolium rigidum
Lineage: Eukaryota; Viridiplantae; Streptophyta; Magnoliopsida; Poales; Poaceae
Gene name: CBL-interacting protein kinase 1-like
Exons: 2
Source: RefSeq, a predicted model, not a curated record